This 497-nucleotide ribosomal RNA is filed under the name uncultured bacterium. Its description in RNAcentral is "partial 16S ribosomal RNA". It matches the Rfam family "Bacterial small subunit ribosomal RNA", at positions 28 to 507 of the family's 1533-position model. The record is from RNAcentral.
GAUGAACGCUGGCGGCGUGCCUAAUACAUGCAAGUCGAGCGAAAAGAUAAGGAGCUUGCUCCUUUGACGUUAGCGGCGGACGGGUGAGUAACACGUGGGUCACCUACCUAUAAGACUGGGAUAACUUCGGGAAACAGGAGAUAAUACCGGAUAAUAUUUCGAACCGCAUGGUUCGAUAGAGAAAGAUGGUUUUGCUAUCACUUAUAGAUGGACCCGCGCCGUAUUAGCUAGUUGGUAAGGUAACGGCUUACCAAGGCGACGAUACGUAGCCGACCUGAGAGGGUGAUCGGCCACACUGGAACUGAGACACGGUCCAGACUCCUACGGGAGGCAGCAGUAGGGAAUCUUCCGCAAUGGGCGAAAGCCUGACGGAGCAACGCCGCGUGAGUGAUGAAGGUCUUCGGAUCGUAAAACUCUGUUAUUAGGGAAGAACAUACGUGUAAUUAACUGUGCACGUCUUGACGGUACCUAAUCAGAAAGCCACGGCUAACUACGUG